Molecule: transfer RNA, 76 nt
Filed under: Verrucomicrobiia bacterium
Lineage: Bacteria; Pseudomonadati; Verrucomicrobiota; Verrucomicrobiia
Also listed under: 4 other names
Description: tRNA-Phe
Rfam family: tRNA
About the family: Transfer RNA (tRNA) molecules are approximately 80 nucleotides in length. Their secondary structure includes four short double-helical elements and three loops (D, anti-codon, and T loops).
Source: RNAcentral
GGCACUGUAGCUCAGUUGGUAGAGCAGCGGACUGAAAAUCCGCGUGUCGCCGGUUCGAUCCCGGCCGGUGCCACCA